AUGAAAAACUCAAGGUGGGCAACCCAUGGUAGCCUCGAGCAUCCUGAUUGGAGGUGGCUUCCAAAUCUAUCCCAUAUUGAUUUUUUUUUUUUUUUUUUCCUGGUACUAUUUGCUACCUAUAUCCUCAUUUCACUCGCUGCUGCAAUUUUAAUACAAAAGCUGCCAACUUUCAAUUAUUUUAUUCAUGAGAACUUCACCGUGGGAUUCUGGGCUCUUCCCGAUGAGCAGAAGAGUAUUCAGACUGGAGUUGGAGCAGAGAGAACUAAUGACCAGAAUUGUAAGAAUUGUACAGCUUUGUUCUUUCCUGUUGUGCUUCGAUCCUUCCAAAGCACUCGUGUGGCUCGAGGAUCACCCCGAUGCCACCCCAACAACAACUCUGUCCCCACUUGGUACCUGAGACAUCGGAAUUGCAUUUCCCUCUGCUUUGCAAACAAGGAAAAAAGAGGAAGAAGGCAAUUAUGUGAUUCACCCUAAUUGCACGGUAAGUCACUUGGUGUAGGCCUAGUGUUGCUGUUGAUCCCACAGGCUUGUCAGCAGGUUAAAAUUAGAUAAUUUGCUGAUACGGGGAGACUCCUGUCUGAAUAAUGUAGGAACUGUGUCCUGGGAUAUCUCGACUGGGUUUCAAGUAGGUCUAAAUGUCCUUGCUCAUAAAUUAUGAGCUUCUUCCAGAUUUCAUAGAAUCAUAGAAUCAUUGAGGUUGGAAGAGACCCUUGGGAUCAUCGAGUCCAACCAUCUCCCCUACUCUACAAAGUCCUCCCCUACACCAUGUCCCUCAGCACUGCAUCUAAACGGCCCUUAAACACAGCCAGGGAUGGUGACUCCACCCCCUCCCUGGGCAGCCUGUUCCAAUGCCCGACCACUCUUUCAGUGAAAAAUUCCUUCCUAAUUUCAUAACGUUCAUUCCCUUCUUCUGCCCGUUCAAACCGAAAAGGCUGGGCUGCCUGCGUUAACGUGGUGGAGAAACAAGCCUCUGCUCUCCGAGCCCCCUGGGGAUUAAUCCUUUUCAUCUAGAAGAAACCACAGCUGGUUUAUGGAAACGUUGAGGAUGACUAUGAGUUAGUUCAGCAAUUAAUAAGUUUGUUCAGCAAUUAAUGUGCGUUUGUCAAGCGUGGCUCAUCCGGCCGGUGCCGAAUGGGAGAAGGUUGCUCAUUGCCCCUUCACCAUCUCAUUACUGCUUUGCAUGUUCAAAAAAAAAAAAUAAAAAUAAAUAGAUAGGUGCA
This 1220-nucleotide long non-coding RNA is filed under the name Calidris pugnax (ruff). RNAcentral's name for it is "lncRNA (ENSCPUG00000016031.1)". Lineage: Eukaryota; Metazoa; Chordata; Aves; Charadriiformes; Scolopacidae. The record is from RNAcentral.